GACGAACGCUGGCGGCGCGCUUAACACAUGCAAGUCGAACGGAAAGGCCUGCUUUCCCUUGUGGAUUGCGGGUACUCGAGUGGCGAACGGGUGAGUAACACGUGAGUGAUCUGCCCCCAACUUGGGUAUAAGCCUGGGAAACUGGGUCUAAUUCCCGAUAGGACUGCAGGGUGGUGCCUGUGGUGGAAAACGAUUUUCUAGUGGUUGGGGAUGAGCUCGCGGCCUAUCAGCUUGUUGGUGGGGUAAUGGCCUACCAAGGCGGCGACGGGUAGCCGGCCUGGGAGGGUGGACGGCCACAUUGGGACUGAGAUACGGCCCAGACUCCUACGGGAGGCAGCAGUGGGGAAUAUUGCACAAUGGGCGGAAGCCUGAUGCAGCGACGCCGCGUGGGGGAUGACGGCCUUCGGGUUGUAAACUCCUUUCGACCGCGAGGAAGCCACCUGGUUGGAAGGGUGGUGACGGUAGUGGUAGAAGAAGCACCGGCUAACUACGCG
RNAcentral lists this ribosomal RNA (494 nucleotides) under uncultured bacterium. RNAcentral describes it as "partial 16S ribosomal RNA". It matches the Rfam family "Bacterial small subunit ribosomal RNA", at positions 28 to 507 of the family's 1533-position model. The record is from RNAcentral.